ACACGUAUGAAAGACAAGCUGAAAGACUUUUCUCAAUGAUGUAAGUGGUGGUGCAUGGUCGUUCGUAGUUCGUGGAUUGAUUUGUCUGGUCUAUUCCGAUAACGAGCGAGACCCCGGCGUUCCUAAUAGGGGCAACAGCCCGGCUCGCCUCACGGCUUGCUAGCAGUUGCUUAAGAUUUACUUCUUAGACGUAUCAGAGCCGAUAAGGUUCUUGAAAUGGGUUAAUAACAGGUCAGUCAUGCCCUUAGAUGUUCUGGGCCGCACGCGCGUUACAAUGGCAUGUAUAGAAAGUGCCUAUUAAGGGCGUAUCCGGGGCCUAACGGCCUCGGUAACCCCUAAUCCCUGCCUUGACUGGGAUAGACUAUUGCAAUUAUUGGUCUUCAACGAGGAAUUUUUAGUAAUCGCAGGUCAUUAACCUGCGAUGA
This 425-nucleotide ribosomal RNA is filed under the name Diderma testaceum. Its description in RNAcentral is "SSU rRNA". It matches the Rfam family "Eukaryotic small subunit ribosomal RNA", at positions 1230 to 1644 of the family's 1831-position model. Lineage: Eukaryota; Evosea; Eumycetozoa; Physariida; Didymiaceae. The record is from RNAcentral.